This 687-nucleotide long non-coding RNA is filed under the name Homo sapiens (human). RNAcentral describes it as "non-protein coding lnc-NSA2-7:1". Lineage: Eukaryota; Metazoa; Chordata; Mammalia; Primates; Hominidae. The record is from RNAcentral.
AUGGCUCUUCCUCAGGGUCUAUUGACAUUCAGGGAUGUGGCCAUAGAAUUAUCUCAGGAGAAGUGGAAAUGCCUGAACCCUGCCCAGAGGACUUUAUACAGAGACGUGAUGUUGGAGAAUUAUAGGAACCUGAUCUCCCCGGAUAUCUCUUCCAAAUGCAUGAUGAAGAAGUUGUGAUCAACAGGGCAAGGCAAUACAGAAGUGUUCCACAUAGGCACAUUGUAAAGACUUGCAAGUCAUCACAUUGGAGAUUUUUGCUUCCAGGAAAUUGAGAAAGAUAUUCAUGACUUUGUGUUUCAGUGGCAAGAAGAUGAAAGAAAUGGCCAGGAAGCACCCAUGACAGAAAUAAAAAAGUUGAUGGGUAGUACAGACCAAUAUGAUCAAAGGUAUGCUGGAAACAAGCCUAUUAAAGAUCAGCUUGGAUCAAGCUUUCAUUCUCAUCUGACUGAAAUGCACACAUUUCAGCCUGAAAGGAAAAUUGGUAAUCAAGUUGAGAAGUCUAUCAACGAUGCUUUCUCAGUUUCAGCAUCCCAAAGAAUUUCUUGUAGGCCCCAAACCCAUAUUUCUAAUAAGUAUGGGAAUAAUUCCCCCCAUUCUUCAUUACUCACACAAAAACAGGAAGUACACAUGAGAGAAAAAUCUUUCCAAUGUAAUGAGACUGGCAAAGCCUUUAAUUGUAGCUCACUC